RNAcentral lists this non-coding RNA (158 nucleotides) under Alteribacillus bidgolensis. Lineage: Bacteria; Bacillati; Bacillota; Bacilli; Caryophanales; Bacillaceae. The record is from RNAcentral.
UCCAUUGCGAAAUGGAAUCUGAAGGAAGCUGGAGGCAAAUCUCCGACCCGAGGAACACGAAUCUCAUACAAGGCCGAGGCUGUAAAACAAGCCGAAUUCCUUACGAUCAAAGGGAAGGGCUGUAAAUGAGGCGGGUACAUGGAGAGGAAGUUUGUGCG